Molecule: long non-coding RNA, 2835 nt
Filed under: Olea europaea subsp. europaea
Lineage: Eukaryota; Viridiplantae; Streptophyta; Magnoliopsida; Lamiales; Oleaceae
Source: RNAcentral
GGUUACUUGUUAGAUGAGGAAUCCAAAAUGGAUGAAUUUCAUGCAUAUCUUAAUUAUUAAAAAUUUAAUCAUUAGAGUGGUCAAACUAAUAAAUACAUGUUGUACUAAUAUAGAUACUCAGAAGAGAAAAAAAGUAUAAUAAUGAUUAUGGAUUGGUGAGAGGAAGCAUUUGUCUUUUUCAAAAUUUCCUUCGUUUUAAAUAUGGUAGCAUUCACAGUCUGUUCUCUAAGUUCUCCAUUCGGUGCAGAUAUUUUACAUUGCAUUUUAUGAGACAUGAAUAGAUGUAGAGUAAAAGCAGUAUAAUGAAUUUCUUGUAACUAUUGGCGUAAAUCUUGACAAGCAUGACAGUUGUCCUACUAACGUGAUCAUAUCCAUUGUGAUAAAUAUGUCUCCUAGUGGUGUUUUUGUCCGAUUAUCAAAGAAACCCCUUGAGUAAAUGACACGGCCAGUCCCGAAUCAAUUUAAUGGACUCGACACGUGUUGCGCGCCAAUUGUAGAUACCAACUAAACGUCGGAUCUAUCACCAAGGCAAUUUUGAUUUGCUUGACUAAAAAAUAUUUUUAACAAAGUUUCUCCUUAAAUACGAACUAAAAUCACCUAAACAAUUACCAAUUUUUCUCAAAUCAGUACCUAUAAUACAAAUUAGGGUACGCUAGUCCCUCAAAAUACAAACUAUACAAAUAAAAUGCUAUCAAAUCAAUAUUUACUUGCUUUAUAACUAACAGUCCUCAAAUAUACUUAAAAUACUAAACAUUUAAUGAGUCUAUAAUGAACCUUUCUGAUUUAAGCUACAUGUAUCCCAAAAGAACGCAUAAUGUUAAUUUGAUAAAUGAUGUCAUACAACCUAUGACGCAUGGCUCAAUUCAGUGGUUAAAUAGGCUCCAAAGCUGCUCAAUUCGACUGCUUUCUGUUUGAUAAAGAAAAAGGUGAAGCAAUAUAUGAGCUUAAAGCUCAGUAAGUGGAUAAUUUGCAAAUAAGUAAACUUUUCUUAUUUAUGCAUAUCGCCUGAAAAUUCUUACUCUAUUAAAAUUUUGAGAAAUUCUGAAAACUAGCAACACUUUUAAAACUAAGAAUGAUUGCAUCAUAAAAUUCUUUGCUCUUUAUUCUCGUGCAAUAACUGUAAAAUAUAACGAACAUAAAUAAUCUGACAUCCAUUAAAAUCUGUGAAAUACUAAUGUUGCUCAAUACUAUAAGUUGAAAGCUUAAUUUUGAGAACUGAAUAAACUGAAUUCUAUAAUCUGAAAUCUGAUAAGCUGUAGAAAUACUGAAAAAUCACACCAAAAAGGUAUCCAACCAAUUGUCUUGAUUGUGGAAUAUCAUUGAGAAAUAGGAAUCCAUGUUAUCAAAGAAUUUCUUGCAAUUAUUUCUAUUAGUAGCUUUACUCAUGUACAGAGUAAUCUCGAUGUACAAGACAAAGCCAUUCAAAUCUAAUAAUCUGGUCAUACGUACGUAGAGUUGCCCCAAAGGCUAAUCACCCUAGUAAACGGUCCAAAACCUAUGUGUGUACGAGAGUGGGUCCCAAAGAUAUCCGAUAAUCUGAUCAUACACUAUGGAAACAUAUUCACCAUAGUGCAAAGCGGCUAAAAUUACCAUAACUAGUCAUACAUUGUGGAAACACAUUCACACCAGUGCAGACUAUGGUAAAAUCACUUGGAUACUUUCUGAUGAUUUCUAGAAAUAACUUUACCUAUACUGAAACAUGUAAUACUAAUGGAACAUGCUAUUGAAAUGAUUUAAUUAAACUAGAUUUAAAUUUAAAAAUAACUGAUUAUUAAUCCACUUUAUUCUAAAAAUCAUGCUGUCAAAUCAACUAUUUGAAAUAAUAAAUUUUAUAAUCUAACAUAAAUUUAAUAAUUAAUUAAUUUCUAAAAAAUAAGUUCUAUAUCCACUCACCAAGUCAUAGUCGAUCAUGAUUUCAAUCUUCUCUUCACUGCUUCAACUUUAAAUAUCAAGUAUGAUAUUACGCACUCGCUCUAGUAAAUCAUAUCCCCUUACAAAGGUGCCUUGAGUAUUUUCCUACCAUUUGAAAUGUUAAUUUACCUAUGGAAACUUGCUAUAGUUUAUUUUCAACAUCAUAAUCCCAACUAAGGUCACUAACAACAUAUACUCCUUUAUAUAAAUUAUUUUAACACCAAAACUCCAAAUAUUUAACACUUAAUUUGGUUCCAAUAUUAAAAAUCCAUGAAAAUUAGAUGAUUGACAAAACUAGCACUAAUUUCAGAAUAUUGAAAACUAGCACCAAUGCCAUAUUGAAAUCUGUUAUCGAAAACAUUGACAAAAUUAGCACUUUUCUGGACAGGAUUUCAAAAAUAGUACCUGUGUAGGACUUUGUCUAAAAAUUGCUUAUAAUUAUUACUUAAAAAUGGUGAAAUCAAACCCAAUUCCUUAAUUUAAGUUAUUAACAUCAUAUAAUCCCAAGAAAAUCAAAGAAUAAGUAUCUAUUUCAUAAACGCAAUUUCAAAGUUCCCCUAUUUUCUUUUCUUUUUUCCAACACCAAUCAUUCAAUAUAUAUUUCUUUAACAUAUUCAUGUUUAAUAACUCAAAUAAAUUUCAAUAACCUCUAAUUUUAGCUAACUUCGAAUAUAACCAAAUUUUCCAUAAACCCUAAAAGAAAACUUAAUUCAAUAUACUUGCACUUACCUCUCUAAAUCAAAUGAAAAAUUGAAGAAAUGGAGCACCCAAGAAUUGAAAGCCCACUUCUUCUUUUUCUUUUCCUCUUUCUUUUCUUCUCUUCUUUCCCAUUUUUUUCCUUCUUUCUCGAUUCUUCUUGACUUCUUUCCCCGGUUUCUAGUGUGUGUGUGUUUGUAUUUUAAUUGUGAAUGGGUUUAUCAUUUG